This 4365-nucleotide long non-coding RNA is filed under the name Gossypium barbadense (sea-island cotton). RNAcentral's name for it is "long non-coding RNA (GBAR_LNC016397)". Lineage: Eukaryota; Viridiplantae; Streptophyta; Magnoliopsida; Malvales; Malvaceae. The record is from RNAcentral.
AGCUCUACUGCUAUGGAAAUUCACUCCGAAAGGAUCCGACCGCUACUUUACCUAGCAGUUGGUCGCCUGGCAAUCCAUUUUUGUUCUUGAUUCGUGGUCAAAAUUACCUACAAGACAAGCAAAAGGUAUUAAUUCACUCACUUCAGUUCUGUUUUGUUUUCAAAAUGUAGACUUGGACUCAAAUGUGAGUGUGAGAUAUGAGUAUAUUCAAUUAUUCUCUAUGUUUUUUCAUGUAUUUUGAGGGUUCUUGGAAGGUCAUAUCCCCAUUCCUGUAUCCAAAAAUGAGUCAGCACAGACAUCAAACACAAAUACUUCAAGAAAAAUGAAUAGUCAAAGAAGCAUAGGAGAAGUUAUUUGUUAGGAGCUUGAAUCGACAUCAAACAGCUUCUUAAUCCAUAAAACUUCAUCUUUCCAAUCCCCAAAGUUUUGCUUGAAAAAGAAGAGCUUAUCCUUAAUACUGAAACUGAAUAUGUGUUUUAGGACUUGGGUUCUUCAUUUUCCCUAAAGAAUCCAUAUCCGACAUUUCUCUCUCCUACACGUAUGGACAUGAAUAUGGGGAAGCUCGUACUGACUGUACUCAUAUUUGACACUUACCUGAAUCUGUGUAACAUAGUAGGAAUUUUUUAAAUAUAUACAAUGAACUCUAAAGAUAUAAUUACUCCCUUUCCAAAUCUGCAUGUGUAAUUUUCCUUUUAAAUCUUUUAACUUCAAUGUGUUGAAUUUCUAAUGUUGUAGAUUAAGGCAAACGGAGCCUUGAUGCAAAUGGUAGGGGCAGACUGGUUAAUAUCCGAAAAACGAGAAGACAAUCUCGGCAGCCGACUAGGUGGUAUUGUGCAGGUUUGAGCUGUAACAAUAUGUGUUAAGUGUAGGGGUGCAAUCUAGUCGAGCCAAGCUCAAUUUGUAAGAAGCUUGAGCUUGACAUGAGUUCAAUUGACUUUUACUUUUAAAGUUUGAGCUCUAUUUGAGAUAAAGGUUGACUUUAAGUUCAAUUAUUUACGCUCAAGCUCAAGUCCUAAUUGAAAAUAUAAAGGCUGCUAGCUGCUCAAGUCAAGCAUUAGAAUACUCAAAUUCGGUUCAUUCGAUAGCUUGAUUUUGACUCUCUUUUUUCUCGAACCAAAUUCAAGUAGAUUGCUAGCAUAGAUAUCUGACUAGAAAAUUAACUUUGGUGGUAUAUUCAUUGCAGAACCAUGCAGCACAAGGUGGACCAGAAUUCUUCUUUAUUGUUAAUUUCCAGGUAUGUGUGAUUGUUAUAUAAACUGAACUGCCUUCACCGUUCCAUUAACAAUCAAUCACAUAAUAUUCUCCCACAAAUAUGAAUCAGAUUCCUGGAACGCCGAGGUAUACACUGGCAAUGUACUACAUGAUGAAAUCUCCUUUGGAAGAUCACCCUUCGCUUUAUAAAUUUGUAAAUGGAGAUGAUGCCUAUAGGAAUUCAAGAUUUAAGCUCAUACCACACGUUUCCGAGGUGAGACAUGCUUUAAUAUAUUACUCCAAUUCUUCAAUUCUUUUUAAAUUUUUCUUUGAAGUAUCCCUUGGGAUUUUGGAUUUAGCAUGUUUUAUAAUCUAUGUUUUGACGCACACAAUCUGUCUCUUCAGGGAUCAUGGAUAGCGAAACAAAGUGUUGGAAAGAGGGGUUCCUUAUUGGGCCAAACUCUUGAAGUUCAUUAUUUCAGAGGGAAAAAUUAUAUGGAGGUACACUGUUUUCUUGUUUUUGCUUGUUAAUACGCUAUUGCAAAUGCUUUUACUCAAUGCCAUUGGACUUCAACACGUAUUCAGACUACAUGUGUAUAGAGGUAUUAUCAUUUAAUAUAUUAAAAACUGAAAAAGAAAAUUCGAGCAUGCUUAUAUCAACUACAUACUCGUAUUCGACACUUCCCAAUCCGAGUACGAAAUCAACUCUCUUGUCCUACGUUACAGUCUAGGGUGAGAGUAUUGGACACAGGUAUAUUUGGAAGGUCGUUGGAGGAUCAUAUCUCCAUUCCAAUGUUUGGUCAGAUAUAAUUUUUUACUAAAAAAAAUGAAUAAUCGAAAUAACAUAGAAUAUGUCAAUCGUGUAGUUAACAAUCAAAUACAUUGAAAAUGUGCAGGUUGAUGUUGAUGUUGCAUCUUCAACAGUGGCACGGAGUGUAUGUAAUCUUGUUAUUGGAUAUUUUAGCAGUAUGGUCCUUGAAUUGGCAUUUGUUAUAGAGGUAAGACAUAUCUUCCUACAUGCAUGGACAGGGAUAGAAAAAAAAUUAAGUAAAACAUGAUAUUUAAACAUUACUAACAAGGGUUUGCAUUUUUAUUAUUAUAGAAGAUCCUUUCUAUCCAGUAUCACACUAUGACUUAUUUUUCAUUUUAUUGAUUCGUUUUUGCUAUCUACUUCUUCAGGGUAAUACACGGGAAGAGCUCCCUGAAACCCUUCUUGGAACAAGCAGACUCAAUCGUGUUGAUCUAUCCAAAGCAUUGGUAGCAUUGCCAUAGACUAAAAGGGUUUAUGAUCCGGUUCGAAUUUCAUAAAUUUUGAAAUGUUUUUAGUGAAAUUGGUUGGAAUUAAGGCCGAACCGGUUUUAAUAAUCCAUUUUACUACCCAUUACUAAUACAUAUAAAAGGGAAAGGCUAAAAAUAAUCAAAUCAUGUAAAAGGAAUUUCAAUAUUUCUUUACCAUUGAUUCAAUCAAGUUGAAAAUUGAAAAAAGGAAAAUGAGUAGACUUGGUUUUGAUUCUUUGGUGGGAUUAAUGUUAGACGUAACGUGUUCAUUUCCAUAAUGAUGAGCUUCUAUUGUAUGAUUGAAUAUAACUUUCUGUUUGAAUUUUCACCUUUUUUGUUGUUUCAAUUUUACCAAUAUUGAUUGAAUAUAAUAUAAUUAGUCAUAUAUACCUGUUUUUUUUUUUAAUUUGGAAAAGCCUUUUUUUAAAAAAAAUAGGGAAAUUUUUUUUUAAAAAGAAAAAGAUAUUAUUCAGAUGUAAAAAAUAUAAAAAAAAAUUAUUUAAAUAAAUCAAUACUAUAAUUGAAAGGUUUUUUUAAUAAACUUUGAUAGAAAUAAGUUUUGAUUUAAAAAAGCCAAGAGUGCUAUCCCUAGUAUCCUAGCAAAAAUAGUGACUGCUGCGGCUUGGGAUGACGGAAAGUGGUGCCAACGACGGGUUUAGGGGCGACGAGGUCUCCUUGCUAGCUGAGGAACUUAUACAACUAUCAGUUAAAAGUUCGGUGGUGGAACCAAACGAGAAACCAACUCUAAUCUGCACUAUUUGGACAGAGAAAUCUUAUAAUCAAGAUAGCUUCAAAGCGCAGAUGAAAAGUAUUUGGAAAACAAAGAAAAAGUUUGAGAUUCAAUCAGUAGGGCAAAACCUUUUUGUGAUUGUGUUUGAGUUAGAAGAAGAUUUAGAAACUAUUAUGGAAGGACAGCCAUGGUUGUUUAGGAAAAGUUUAGUUAUCUUUGAUCGAUUGACUAAACCAAUGGAAAGAGAUCAGAUUAGACUUGUUGCAUCCCUGUUUUGGAUCAAGAUUGAGCCGAGUUUACCAGAGUUUGAUAAAAAAAAGAUCUCUUGCAUGCCAUAGGGGUUACUUUUGGAGGUGUUUUCAGAUCUGAAGUUAAUGGUGAGUUUUGUCGCCUUAGAAUUAAAUUAAAUGUACAGAAACCCCUUCGUAGGGGUAUAUUUGUUUUAAGAAGCAAUGGGAAUAGAUAUUGGAUCCCUUUCAAGUACGAAAAAUUACCGAAAUUCUGUUUUGGCUGUGGAAAACUGGGGCAUGACCUUCAAGACUGCAUAGUAGUUAAACCUGUAGAAAAAGACAGAAUUAGAGAAGACCCACCUUUUUCUUUAGCACUAAAAGCAGAAUUAAAUUUAGUUGGAAGGGAGAGUCUGAAAUUUAAUGCUCUAGCAAAAAACAACAACCACAGAGUUCGUACACAAGAGGAAUUAAAGAGAACCAGGAGGCGUACUUAUAUAGUGGUAAAAGUAGCGGCCUGAUUCAAGAAGUGCAAGAAGAUUCGUGGGCGACAAUAACAGGAACGGAGACAAGGAUGAAGCAGGAAGGAGAACACAAUAGGAAUAAAUCAGAGAGAAGCAAAAUAGACGAAGAAUUAAUAAAGCUAGUCAGGAAAUCCAGCUGGAAAAGAGUGGAAUCAACGGGAGUGAUGAAAUAUCAUGGAGUAGAGAGUAAAUUACAGAAAAGGAAAUUGGCAGAUAUUGAUUAUGAUGAUUACAAUACAGAAGAGUCCCGGGAUGAUGCAGCAAAGAGGAGGAGAUAUGAUGGAAAGGAUUUAAUAAACGAGGUUGAAACAAAUUUGUCGGUAGACAACCCCACCCAAAAUAGAUCGACGGCAGCCAAAAGGCAAGCCGAUCGGAUGCAAUGAAAAUCAUAUGCUGGAAUGUUCGUGGAUUGGGG